GAGGGUAAGGCUCAGUGGUAGAACACGUGCUUAGCAUGCACAAGGUCCUGGGUUCAAUCCCCAAUACCCCCA
Camelus ferus (Wild Bactrian camel) is the source of this 72-nucleotide transfer RNA. It matches the Rfam family "tRNA". From Rfam's summary of the family: Transfer RNA (tRNA) molecules are approximately 80 nucleotides in length. Their secondary structure includes four short double-helical elements and three loops (D, anti-codon, and T loops). Further hydrogen bonds mediate the characteristic L-shaped molecular structure. tRNAs have two regions of fundamental functional importance: the anti-codon, which is responsible for specific mRNA codon recognition, and the 3' end, to which the tRNAs corresponding amino acid is attached (by aminoacyl-tRNA synthetases). tRNAs cope with the degeneracy of the genetic code in two manners: having more than one tRNA (with a specific anti-codon) for a particular amino acid; and 'wobble' base-pairing, i.e. permitting non-standard base-pairing at the 3rd anti-codon position. Lineage: Eukaryota; Metazoa; Chordata; Mammalia; Artiodactyla; Camelidae. The record is from Rfam.